UGCGUAGGCGGUGCCUCAAGUUUGGUGUGAAAUCUCCCGGCUCAACCGGGAGGGUGCGCCGAAAACUGAGGUGCUCGAGUGUGGGAGAGGUAAGCGGAAUUCCUGGUGUAGCGGUGAAAUGCGUAGAUAUCAGGAGGAACACCGGCGGUGUAGACGGCUUACUGGACCAUAACUGACGCUGAGGCACGAAAGUGUGGGGAGCAAACA
This 207-nucleotide ribosomal RNA is filed under the name uncultured bacterium. RNAcentral describes it as "partial 16S ribosomal RNA". It matches the Rfam family "Bacterial small subunit ribosomal RNA", at positions 568 to 774 of the family's 1533-position model. The record is from RNAcentral.